This 23243-nucleotide long non-coding RNA is filed under the name Capsicum annuum. Its description in RNAcentral is "long non-coding RNA (CANN_LNC001940)". Lineage: Eukaryota; Viridiplantae; Streptophyta; Magnoliopsida; Solanales; Solanaceae. The record is from RNAcentral.
UCAAAAUGCAUCAAGCACUCUUCUAAGAGUUUAAAGAAUAAUCUGGUUCGGGCAAUGCUCUGCUCCCAAGCUUUAAUAAGUGUUUCAUCAUCCAAGUUGCGCACUAUUUGCAGAAAGAUAAUCAAGACUUCACGUUUUUCAAUUGUACUCAGAUUGUAAAAGACAGGCAUCUCAUCCAGGAUCUGCACACACAUAUAAAAAUGUCACAGAAGGCGAAAAACAUAGAAAAACUCAACGUUUGAACUGCAUAUUUAAGUGCAAAACACAAGAUUAAGCAAAUGACAAAAAACAAGAUAAUGUAUAUGCAAUAAAAGAACAAAUAACAAUAUAUACAAACAGCAACUGAGGACCAAGAAUUUCAAAAAUUGUAACUGAUUGGAAUAAAUGAAGUAAAAACCUGUCCAUCAAGCUAAGGUAAAAUCACUAAAAUCAUUCAGGCGAGUAACAUUUACAAAAUGUUCUGUUCUAGCAUCCCAAGCUGCAUUUCUGCCUGGAAAUUGACAAGGAGGCUGUUCUGGGAAACCUCGGUGAAGGUGUAGCUGUUGUAAUAAGUUAGGUUGUACCCAUGAUGCGUGCCUCUCUCUACAUGGUAAACCAAAAAACUGUUAAUGUUGCUAAGAGUGAAUCCACUGAUACUCCACCCAAUCAAUUGUUCUCUGUAUCUGAAGUAGAAUAUACCGACUUUUAUUAGCAUCUGGCGAGUAGGCAGACAUUCCACCAAUAGCUUUUGUUGCUCAAACUAGUCAUCUUGUUGCUUGUAUCUCCUAUUGCCAAAAUUGGUCCUUGGCUCAUGGACUAGGGCGAUUCUAAUCACAUUUCCAGUAUUUAAUGUUUAAUAGUGUUCAUUUUCAGCUCCGUCCCACUAGCUAAUGGUUCUCAAACCAUAGCAACUGGAGUAGCUCUCGUCAAAUGUUUCCUUCCUUUAAUCUGAAUAGUGUUCUUGUUAUCCUUGAUUGUCCCUUCAGCCUUAUUGCAAUCCGUCGUUUGGCUAGAGCCCCAAAUAGUUUCAUCUAAUUCAUUAGAACCUGUUUGAAUUGGUUUAUCUUCUACAACUCCAUCUUCCUCAACUCUACCUCCAUCACUAUUGACUUAUCAUCGUCAUCAUCGCUUCUCAUCCGUCCCAAACAAUUAAAGUUCGCCGCAGACUCUUGCCUGUUGCAGACUUGUCUACACAAAGUUCUCCAAUUGUCACUCCAAAAGGUAUUCGUUCUACGUGCAACCCCAUCCUACCUAUACUUCUUUGAGCUAUCAUUGUUUAUCACCAGAUCAUUCUGCCUUUAUAUCAUUAUUAUCCACCGAUUCAAUUUCAAAGACUACAGGUGAAGCUUUCCUCAUUCAGGCCGGCAAUAAGCUAUGAUUGGAGAAAUAUCUUACACUAUAGUGGCAUUUGGGAGCUUGUUCCUCUACCCCCAGGUAAGCCUACAUAGGGUUUUCGUUGAGAUAUAACGUGAAGGUUGGGCCCAAUGAACAGAUUGAUCGCCAAAAGGCACGACUAGUCACCAAGGCUUUUACACAGAUUUUUAUCUUGACUAUGGUGAUACCUUCUCUCCUGUAGCUAAUAAGAUUGUUUGAGUUCGUCUAUUUUUAUUUAUGGUUGUUGUUCGCCAUUUGCCUCUGUAACAGUUGAAUAUUAAAAUGCUUUACUACAUGGGGAUAUCGGAGAUGAGGUGUAUAUGGAGCAAACACCGGUUUUGUUGCUCAGGGCAUCUAGCAACUCGGCAUGUAAACAAUGAUGAUUACUUUAUGUCUUGAAGCGGUCUCAUUGAGCAUGGUUCAGAAAAUUUAAUAUUGGUCAUUCAUGAGUUUGACAUGGUUUGCUGAAGCUGAUCAUUCUACAUUUUAUCACAACUUAACUCCAGGUUUAUGCAUGUACUUGGCAGUUUACAUUGAUGUCAUAUUAUCACAUGCAAUGACUACAAAGGAAUAACCAAGUUGAAACAACAUAUUUAUCAGCACUUCCAGACGGAGUAGUUUGGUUGAUUGAGGUACUUCUUGGGCAUUGAAGUUGCUCAAUCCAAAUCAGGAAUUGACAUUUUACAUAGGAACUACAGACUUUAUAUUCUUGAGGAGACAUGGAUAACAAAUUGUAGGCUUAUUGAUACUCCAAUAGAUCCAAAUACUAAGCUCCUGCCAGGUCAGGGAACGCCUAUCAAUGAUCCUGGAGGAUAUAGGAGAUUGGUAGGAAAAUUGAAUUCUAACUGUAACUUGCCAUGACAUUGCUUUCGCAGUCAGUUUUGUAAGUCAGUUUUUAGAUUCUCACUGUGAGAGUCAUUAGAAUCUUUGAUCCACAAAAUUUGCUCCCGGAAAAAGGACUAUUUUACAAGCACAAGAAAAUUAUAAGAUAUACAGAUGCAGACUAAGGAUCCUCCGAGAGACGAUCCACUUCAAGAUAUUGUGUUCUAGUGGGGGAAAUUUGGUGUCGUGGAAAAGUAAGAAAAAAAUAUGUUGCUAAAUUGAGGGCAGGAGCAGAAUAUCGAGCUAUGGCAAUGGCAACAUGUGAAUUAAUAUGGAUCAAGCAAUUACUAAAGGAGUUGAAAUUUGGAGAGAUUAAAAAAAUGGAACUUGUGCGCGAUAAUGAGGCUGCAGUUCACAGUACAUCGAUUCCAGUGUUUCACGAGAGGACCAAACACAUAAGAGUGAUUGCCAUUUUGUCAGAGAGAUGGUACUAUCCAGAGACAUCAUCACAAAGUUUGUGCGGCCAAAUGAUCAGCUUGAUGACAUAUUCACCAAAGUCCCUAGCCGGUCCCGGAACAAGAUAAAUAUGUAGCAAACAUGGUACAUAUAAUUUGUAUGCACUAGCUUGAGGGGUGUGUUAGAAUCCUCUUGAAUAUUCAAGGUUAUAUGUAUAGUAGGUAGUUUAAUUAACUCCUAUCGUAAUAAGGUAGUGAUUUACUUCCCUUUUUUCAGAACAUGUAAACAUAGUUAUUUAAACCCCAUUAGCUUGACAGAAAAAUCAAGUUGAGUUUUCUCUCAAACUCUCUUUAUUCUUACAAUUGGUAAAUAUGCUCACCAAAACCUUGUAAUGUAGAGCACUAUAGACGCUUUGCAAGGAAGUUUCUAACACGAAGUAUUUUUGAACAAGAUGCGCAAGAAAACAACAUUAUCAUUCAGGGAAAAUUAAAGCUUAUAAAACAUUGCUUAGUACAAUUACCAACCUGACCAACAAGGGGAAAAUAUAAUUGAGCAAUAUAUAAUUUAUCCUCUUGCUUUUGGUAGCGAAUAUCAAACUCGUGCUUACACAUGAGGACCACCAAGAUUCUUGCAGCCUAAAAAUAUAAAAAGUGAACGUUUAAUGUGCAGCUAGAAAUCCUUAGCUAGGUAAAAUAAUUGCACAGAAUUCCCCACAAAGAGCAAAGGACUAUAAGGAGGAAAUUUUGAAUAAAUAUAUCAGCAUCAAGCUACGCACUCACUUUUGCCCUCAUUGACAAGUCAUCGUGAUCCCAUGUAAGGAAAAUCUCUUGGAUUAAGAUAGAUGAAAGAUAAUUCCUGUAUAUAAAAAUACAACACCACAAAUUAAAACAGUCUAUCAGGCCAAGUGAUUAACAAAAAAUGGGAAAGCACAGUGAAACAUUGUCAGCAUUGUCAACUGGCACUACAAGCAAAUCAAAAAAAGAAGUUCAAAUCAAGAAGCAUGCUGCUACUGCCAUUCCAUGUGGUUGCUAUGGGAAACAGAAGGGCAUUAAGCAUUGAAUGGUACUUUUGUUGUUGUUGAUAAGUAAAAGCAUUGGGGAAUACAUAAAAAGAUGACGUUUAGAUAAACUUCUUUGUCCAUGAAAUACUGUUCAUAUUUUAGGUAACAUUUUAUAUCAGGUAAAGCAAUCAUAUGGAAUAGCAGCAUGGAGGAAGACAACAGAGAGGAAGAUGAAUUCCAUUAAAUUGUGAGAUCUAAACCAGGAAAUGGAGCCGCAAUGCAACUUUUAGAAGAAGAAAUUGUGCCUUGACGCCGUCUAUUUGGAUGCUAUUGACCUAUAUCGAAGGUCUUUACACAGCGGAUAGCAGUAGUCGUAAAGAUCUGCAAAGAGUGGGAGUCAUGGGACUAGAACUUCAGUAAGAAACUUAGAGAACUGGGAGAUGGAAGUGUUCACGUUACAAGAACAACCUUAAAAUCAUUAAACAUCGAACAUAGACAGAUAUUGCGGGAAACUGGAGGACUUGCACUUACACAGAAAAGUCUCUCUAAUUGGAAAAAUGAGAACUCUGUGACAGGUAGUUCCCAUAUUCCAUAAUUUGGAUUCCUAAAGCACCAAGAAAUGCACGGGAAUCCAUCCUAACAGUCGAAAAUUCGAUGAAAACCAAAUUUACUUAAUAUUAGCUGGUACUUUCAUGUGCAAGAAUGCAGGAGAGGAUGUAACUCAUUUAAUGCUCCAUCAUCUUAUGAAUCUAGGUUAGACUGUAGAUUUGGGAAUAUAUUUGGAAUUGAAUGGAUAAUACCAAGAAUUAUUAGGGAGCAGCCUUUCAGAUGACAAUGCAGAAAGAAAAGGAAUAGAAGAAAAGCAUGGGACAUGACUCCUCUAGAAUUCAAAUGAAAAGUACUAAAGAAGAGAAAUAGAAGUGUGAUUUAUUGAGAAACUGCUCUAUGUACUUGUAGGAGCACAAAUGAUAUUCCAAUUUGCCUUGAUGAUCAGCUGCCAUUGCACAAAGCCAUGUGUGCUUGCAGAUUUCUAGUCUAUUUAUUUUUUUGAUAGCAGUGGUGACCGGGCCAGGUUGCGCGGACCUCGACGUUGCUUACGAGUUUUUGCUCUCUUAUUAUAUUUAUUAUGCAAGGUUUCGCCAUCAUAUUUCUUAUCAAUAAAUAUCUGGAAUCUAGACAAUAAUUAGAGUAUCUAGAAUCUAGUUCGUUGCAAUAGGGAUUGAUACAAUUAUUGAAUUAUUAGACAUCUUGCUAUCAAUAUCAUUCGCCUUUAACGUUAUGUACCUUUUUCAACAACCACAAGAGCUUCUCGAAACUAGCCCAUAUUCAAGGCUUAACCCUGCUUUCUUUUAACUAUGUCCAUUCACUUGCACUUGCUCUAACCAGAGGGGAUCUAGCAUUUUAGUUGUAUGGGUUCAAUCAUCAUAAUUUUUAGUAUUUGAAAUCAUUUGUAUUUUAAAAAUUAUGGGUUCAAACCUACUAUCUAUUGCAAUUUUAAAAGAUUUUUACACAUUAAUUUAUCAUCUGCACUGAAAGUACUGGUUAGGUGAACCCGCAGCUAUAUAGUUGCAUCAGCCCCUGGCUCUAUCACAUGCAUCAUUUUACUUAUGAUCAAAGACAUGAAAUGUAUCAUCACGAAUAUAGUUGAAUAACAAGAGCAAGCACCUCCUUUGUUACCAAAUUAAAAGGAAUUAUGCAAUUUUUAGAAUAGCUUCCACAUUCAUGUUGUCCUAAGCUAAGUUGUGCGGACUCUUCAUUUUUUGUUGCCCAUAUCGACAUGACAUGGGUGCGGGAUUUGUGUGGGAUUUGGUCACUCCACAUCAGAUACUUCGAACAUAGUCCAUGGAAAUAUCUGGGGGUAAUACUGCGAUUUUGAUUUGUUAGAAUAUGAGUAGAUAUAGGAAUAGCAUAUAGAAUCCAACUAGGAAAAGGAUUGUAGUGUAAUGUCCUAUUUGGAAAAAGAUUGGAAUAAAGUGUCUAUAAAUAGGGUCUCAGUUUAAUAAUGUUGAAACAACGAUUCAACAAUAUCCUUCUCUUAUAUUUCUCACAUGGUAUCAAAGUCUCUACGAUCUUGGCAGAGAAUCAAAGAGUUUCCGCUCCCGGCGGGCGGCUAUAAUCCAUUUAUGUCACCCGUUUGGCCAAUGAGCAUAUUAGCAAAACUUGGGUCAUCGUGCUUCUUUUCAGUGGCUUAUCAUAUCUAAUUUGUGUAGACCAUGCAUCUUUCCGAUGACUACUUUCUCAUAUCUGAUUUGUGUAGUACCGUGCAUCUCUCCGAACUACUUCUGAUGUUUAAUUUGGAUAGUACCGUGCAUCUUUCUGAACUACUUUCUCGUAUCUGAGUUACAUAGCACCGUGCAUCUUUCCUGUGACUCCUCGUUUGAUUUGCGUAGUUCUGUGUGUCUUUCCGAUGACUUCUCAGAUCAGAUUUGUGUAGGGUCGUGCCAUCAUUCCGACCCUACCAAUAUAAUUUUUCCUUUUCAGUAGGGUCUUGCCGUUAUUCUUAUCGUACCCAUAUAAUUCUCCUUUUCAGUAGCAUCGUGUCAUCAUUCCAACCCUACCCAUAUAAUUUCUCUUUUACAGCAGGGUCGUGUCGUCAUUCCGACCCAACCCAUAUAAUUUGUCGUUUCAGCAGGAUUGUUCCCACAUUCCGACCCUAUCCAUAUAAUUUCUCUUUUUCAGUAGGAUCAUGACAUCAUUUCGACCCUACUCAUAUAAUUAUCUUUUCUAGUAGGGUUGAGCCAUUAUUUCGACCCUACCCAUAUAAUUUUUCUCAGAUUGUGACAACUUUUCCGACAUCAUAUCUAAUAAUCCGGCAUGUGAGCAUGUUCCAUUCAUUUUUUCAGUGACUUUCUUGUUCAAGAUCUACUCAUCUCUCGAUUUCGAGAUGACCUAUAUAUUUUACACCAUUUUCCGGCAAUUUUCUAGUGACGGAUCAACUUUUUGACGAUGUUUACUACUUUUUCGACCAUUUUUUCAUUUUGUUCCUUUCAACUGACCAGAACAAUCCUUACCAAUUUUCCUGCAGAUAUGUCCACCAAGUCCCUGAUCCUCAUAUUUGUUACAUCCAUAACAAGCUUGGUACAUAUGCUUUCUAUGCACCGACUUGAGGAAAAGUGUUAGAACAUGAGUAAGAAUAGGAAUAACAUAUAAAAUCUUGCUCGGAAAAGAAUUGUAAUUUAGUGUCCUAUUUGGAAAAGAAUUGGAAUAUAGUGUCUAUAAAUAGGGUCUCGAUGAGCCGUUUUCAUUCAAGAUGGACAGGAAUAGGAUUUACUUCAAUGUUGGAUUUAAGUCAUAUGACAUUACUAGAUGGAACUCGGACAAUGUAGUUUGGUACGAAUUGGUUGAGAAGAGUAGAAGACUAAUGAGAAGAACAUCAAUGAGCAGCAAGAUAAUAGAGUGGAUUUGCUUUACUUUAAGAGAAGCUUCCAAAGAUCAGAAGAAGGUGGUCAGAAGAUGGAAAACCUCAGAAAGAGAUGAGAUAGUUUUUCACACAAGGAAGCAAAAUGAACGGGAGAUACAUGAGUAUUCUCUCAGUAAAUAAGGGAGGGAGGUCAGUAUUGAUUUUACCAGAGAUAACAUUAAAUGCAGGUUGAUGUGACAUAGCAUUUAAGAUUGAGAACUUCACUAAAGACCCUAAAAAGCAGGAAAAUGUUGGUCCCUCAAUGUUAACAGAAGCCAACUACCCCUUUGCAAAAGCAGUUAAGGAAAGUAAAUGGCAAUCUAGAGACAUUCGAGAAGCUUAAGUGAAUAGCUCGGCAGGCAGAAUUGAAAUUGCAGGCUCUUCAUAGUCUCAAGAGGAGGGGCUGUUGAGUAGAUGUCUUGUUGGUAGCCUAGAAAUGAUCUGCAAGGAGAAGCCCACGCUAGUUGAUACGAGGGCAUGGUCAUCUCAAACCUGGAAAAAUGUUUUUGGGAUGAACAUCUAUGAGAUGUACGGAGACAUGUUCCUUUUUGAAUUUCCAAAUAGAUACAUGGCAGAGCAAGUGCUACAAGGUCAAUGGACCUAGAAGACGAAAAGAUUCAACCUUGAAAGAUGGUCUCCAAUGGCAGGUUGUGUUACCAUCCACUGUAGCAAAGGAGACAUGGAUCAGAGCAAUUGGAAUACCUCUGCACCUAUGGUCGCAAAAGGUUUUCUAUGAAAUUGGACAAAUGUGUGGAGGUUGGGUGGCCACAAAAGAAGAGACGGAGCUCAGAAAUCACACGAAAUAGGCAAGAAUUUUGGUGGCUACUGAUGGAAGAAAGAUACCCAGUGAAGUAUCAAUAGCUCAUAACGGCAACACUUUUUUCAUCUCGAUUUGGGCCGAGAACAAACCCAGAUGCAAAAGAAAGCCGGAGUUGCCCAAGGAAGCUACCAAAGAUGACGAUGUUGACUGUUACACAUUCCAUCCUUUUACCUAGAGGUUAAACAGAGGCAACAAUCUACUAUGAAUUUGAAUUCCCAUCAAUCUACGGAUUCGAUCUGCAGAAACCACAUAGGUUUUCCUCAAUUUACAACUGGAUCACGUGAAACAGAAAGCACAUAUGAGCGGCACACUACCAACUUAAAUGAAACCCCACAAUUGGGCUGGAUCAGGAAGUACAAUGAUAUAUCAUCUUUUAAUUCAGAAGAUGGGCCUGAUUUUGCAACCCAUGUGAUAUUUAAUGAGAGAUCAGUACAUAUAUCAUAUUUAAAUUCAGAAGAUGGGCCUGAUUCUGCAGCCCAUGUGAUAUUUAAUAAGAGAUCAGCACAGGGGCCUAGUCAAAUCACAACAGAACUCUUUUGUGAUAACGCGAAAGAACCUUUCUCUCAGAGCAUCGAUCAAAAAACCAUGCAGACCAAGGAGAAUAGCACGAAAAACUAGGAUAAAGCAGUAGUCAAUGUAAGCGAGGUCAGGGAUGAUGAUUCUACUAAGGAAUUAAUGGAAUUAGAAGUACAGGGGAUGUCGAGAGAGGUGCCUGUGAACACAAAUAUAAUCUCGAUAGAAAUAGGGGUCCAAGAUGAAGCUGCAACAAUGGAGAAUUGGGAGAUUGAAGACGUAGAGCCCCUGCGAGUCCAAACACAACUGUUGAUCAAAGAAAAAAAGAAGGAAACUUUUUUCUGGGUGCGACAAAAUCUGCUAAAAUUAGUCAAAUUACUAGGAGCUGAUUUUUUGGGCCAUAAGGAAGUUUUGGAACUAUUACUGCAAGUAGAUAGCUGCAGGAUAGCCAAAAGAAUGAAUCAUGCCAAAGUCCUGAAUAAUUGUGCUAAACUUUUUGAACCAGGCUCGAGGAGAUUGUUUCAAACCAUAGAGUGACUUGUGCAAUUGACAUACAAGGUUACUAGACUCCCCCUGAGCAAAAAAACCAGGUGGUUGCUCCAUAUAAACUUCUUCCUCAAGAUCAUCAUGCAGAAAAGCAUUCUUAAUGUCCAACUGAUAAAGAGGCCAAUGACAAACGGCAGCCAUAGAGAGAAAAAGACGAACAGAUGCUAUUUUAGCCACGGGAGAGAAAGUGUCACCCCAUGGUUUGAAACAAUCUCCUCGAGCCUGGUUCGGAAAGUUUAGCACAGUAAUAGGAUUCUAAUAUCCGAAGAAUGGGAUGAAUGUUUUAAUAACUUGAAACAAAUGCCAUUACAGAGGAAAACUUCUGAUCACACUCCUAUUGCCAUUCAAGGUGGAGCUUAGAAUAGGAAAAAAAGCUACAUUAAGUUCGAAAAUUGGUGGUUGAACACUGAUGGCUUCACUGACAGAAUUAGGGAUGGUGGAACAACUUUAAUUUUGCUAGUAGACUAGAUUACAUUCUAGCAUGCAAGAUGAAAGCUUUGAAGAGCAAACUCAAAGUGUAGAGCAAAGGUGAGCAUGGGAAUUUAGGUGUCCAAAAAAAGAUCCUGUUAAGUAAGUUGGCAGAAUCAGAAUCAGUAUCAAGAGAUAGAAUUCUUACUGAAGAAGAGAAUCAAAGAAAGCAGGGUUAAGGGUUAAUGCUAGAAUAUGAGGAAUUGAUUAAAAGGAAGGAGAUCGCAUGGAGACAAAGGUCCAGAGCUUUACGGCUAAAGGAGGGGGGACAGGAAUACAAAGUUCUUCCACAAAGUUGCAAAUUCUCACAAAAGGUAUAAUAACAUAGACCAGUUGCUCGUACAAGGAGAACUCACUCAGGAUUCUGCGAGAAUCGAAGGGGAGAUGGUAGAUUUUUACCAAAAUCUGUAACUGAAACAGUGCAAUAGAGACCAGUCAGUCACUUCCAUAAUUGCCCAGUUAUAACAACGGAAGAAAGGGAGCGCCUUUAAGCAAUAUUUAAGGAGGAGGAAGUGUUGAGAAGUAUAAAGUUAUGUGCAACAGAUAAAGCUCCAGAACCCGACGGCUACACUAUGAGGUUUUUCAGCAAGCGCUGGGAAGUGGUAAGAACAGAUGUCAUGAAUGCAUUCCACAACUUUUAUGAGCAAGAAAUGUUUGAGAGGAGCUACAAUGCCACUUUUAUAGAUUUAAUCCCAAAAAAGAAAGGUGCUAAAGAAUUGAGAGAUGUCAGACCAAUUAGCUUGAUUGGUAGCAUAUAUAAAAUAUUUUCCAAAGUUCUCACUGAAAGGUUGAAAAGGGUGAUGGGAAAACUUGUCGACUCUCAACAAAUGGCCUUCAUCAAAGGCAGACAAAUUAUAGAUGCAAUACUGGUGGCUAAUAAAGCUGUGGGAUCUAGAUAGAAGCAAGGAAAACUAGGAAUACUUUGCAAGUUAAACAUCGAAAAAGCCUAUGACAAUGUCGAUUGGGCUUACCUGCUAACCGUAUUGAGAAGGAUGGGAUUUGGGUAAAAAUGGAUUCACUCGAUCAGGUAUUGCAUUUCAACAGUGAUUUUUUCAGUUCUUAUCAAUGGUACCCCAGCAAAUCAUAGAAGGAUCUCAGACAAGGAGAUCCAUUCUCUCCUUUUUUGUUUUUACUAGUAAUGGAGGGCCUCAAUAGUAUAGUUAAAUCUGCAAAUAUUUAUAGGUGGCUAAGAGGUUUUAAUGUAGCUAGAGAAGGAAGAGACAACCUGGAAGUGACUCAUCUGCAUACUGAUACACUAAUCUUUUGUGAUGGUGAAGAAGAACAGCUCAAAGUACUAAGGAUAAACCUUGUCCUAUUUAAGGGGAUUUCUGGACUACACAUUAACUGGAGAAAGAGUUUCUUGUACCCUAUCAAUAAGGUCUCAAAUAUGGAUUCCCUAAAUGCUAUUCUGGGUGGUGAAAUUGGUGGUUUGCCGACCACGUACCUAGGUAUGCCAUUAGGAGCAAAAUCAAAGUCAAAAGAGAUAUGGAACAAUGUGGUUGAAAAGUGUAAACAGAAAUUAGCUAGAUGGAAAAGACAAUACUUGUAAUUAAGGGGGAGAUUAACUCUCAUCAAUUCAGUCUUAGACUCCUUGCCCACUUAUAUGAUGUCCUUGUUCCCUAUUCCAGCAAGAAUCAUUAGCAGAUUAGACAAAAUCAGAAAGAAUUUCCUGUGGCAAGGUAAUAAAGACAGAAAAGGUUAUCUAUCACCUAGUCAAGUGGAAGUCACUUAUCUGUGACAAAAAGCUAGGGGGUUUGGGGAUCAAGAAUCUGGAGUAUCAUAGCAAAGCACUCAGAAUGAAAUGGUUGUGGAAAUAUGCUAAUGACAAACAAACUUUAUGGGGAAAGUGAUAGAAGCCAAGUAUGAAGAGGAAGAUGGAUGGAUGACUAAAGAAGUUACAACUCCAUAUGGAGUUAAUUUAUGGAGAUCCAUAAGAAUCCUAUGGAAUGAGCUGAAAUGUUUCUCCAGGAUCAAAGUGAACAAUGGGAGAAAAACCUACUUUUGGAAUGAUGAUUGGCAUGAGAUUGGUAAUAUGGAAACUAGGUUCCCAGAAAUACACUCCAUAGUGAAUCACCGACAUAGUACAAUACCCGAACUCCGGACACAAGAGGGGUGGAAUUUCAGUUUCAGAAGGCAACUCAAUGAUUGGGAAGUACAAAGAAUGGAAGAAUUCAUAAGUCAAAUUGAACACUUUUGUGGGUUGAAGGAAGGAAGUGAUGAACUACGGUGGCUAGGCAGUGAAAAAGGCUCUUUCAAGGUGACCAAAGCUUACAGAAGGUUAAACAACUCCAACAUGCAGCUAAAGGUAGCCAUGGAAGAAUAUUUGGAAAGCCAAAAUUCCAUACAAAGUGGCAUGUUUUGUAUGGCUUUUGGCAAGGGAGGCAGUUCUUACUCAGGAGAAUCUCAUGAAAACGGGAAUAACUACAUGCCCCAAAUGCUUCCUAUGUGCUUCCUAUGUGGUGAGAACGAAGAAACAGUUAACCAUUUGUUUUUGCAUUGCAAGAUAACAGGACAGCUGUGGAGAGUGUUUUUGAACCUAAGAGGUGUAUCAUGGUGUAUGUCAAGGAAGAUUACAGAAGCCUUAUCAAGCUGGGAUCUAGUUGGAAUGCAAGCAAAGCGUAGAAGCAAAUAGAGGACAGUCCCAGCUAGCAUUUAGUGGUCAAUCUGAAAAGAAAGAAAUUCCAGGUAUUUUCAAUGUAGAAAAUAGUGUGCAACAAAUCAAGUUAAAUUGUAUCUUGAUUUUGUGUUUUUGGUGUAACCAAAUAUGGUCAAAUGAUCCUAUCUCUAUUACUGAUGUUUUAGACUCAUUAUAGAUAUAGGAUCAUAGAUUUUGGUAGUACGCUUGUAAAUAUGGUUGUGCACAACCUUGUUCUGAAUAUAUAAGAAGUUACCAGUUUCAAAAAAAAUAAAAAAUAAACAGGGUCUCGAUGUAAUAAUGUAGAAACUACAAUUCAGUAAUAAUCUUCACUUAUAUUUCUCACAGAUAAAUCAAAAGAUAAAACAAAUUUAAGACAUGGGAAAUGGCAUGCCUUCAGUCUUUUUUAGCUUUUUAGUAUGUUGAUUUUUCGACAAUUAGUUUAUGUUUUUUAACGCUCAAUUGGAGAAUAAACGAUUGAAUUCUACAACAUACAUGUAAGUUUUCCACAUAAUAUCUUUAUAGCUCUAUUUUCUAGUGAACUUUUUUGGCUGAAUCGCAGCAACCGUGGAUCCAUACACAGGAAUCUUAAAAUUAGAUUUUGCGAAUCAGACCCUCAGAUCCACAUCCAUGACAGAUACUCGCACUCAAGUCCAAGCAACUUAGGUCCUAUGUACUUUAGGUUGUUGUCAAGAGAAGUCCUUGGACGGUGCUACAAAUGGUAUUCAGAAGGAGAAAUAACAAGUGUGAAACAACCAGAGAUGAUUCAAACAAGUCUCUCCCACCUGUUGGUUUAUAGAGAUCUAACUUUCUUUAACCUAGUCAUACAAGAUGUGUAUCAUUGAUGGAUGCUUUUUGUAAAUGACAUGUAUUUCUGGACAAACCUACGAACUAAAUAAAACCCCAGAAUAAUGGAAAAGGAUUCUGGAGAGCAGGAUCUUAAGAUAUAGAAGGAUGAUACUAUAAAUGCGCUGCAAGUUUAACUAAUGAACUACUACAUGAGGAACAAAAGGUGAAGUGAGAUUGGACAAGAUUGUGAUGCCCAAAUUUAGAUAAUUUGGCUAUAGUUAGGCAGUCUUCCAGGGAAAUAGCAUGUUAUAUGAAGAUGCACAACAUAUAGUUAAAAAGGGAUGUUUGAAAUGACGAGUGCUACAGAAGUUCAAUGCAAUGAUAAGAUAAAAAUGACCAAUUUUACAUGAGAAUGAAUGUCAAGACUAAUCCAACACAUCCACAAGAUGAGAGUCGUGGAAAUACACAGAUUAAAAUAAAUAUGUGGCCAUUUAAGUAUGGACAAAUUUAGCAACAAUCACAGCAGACACAACGUAGACAAAAGAUUUUUUCAUCAUGUCCUACGCAGAUCUCCAAAUUCCGAAGGUGUUCCACCGUAACAACUGAAAUUGCGAAAACUUAAAGAAGCAGACCUAAAAUCAGCGAGAGGGAAAUCGAGACCUACAAUCUCGCAAAAUAAAUGCAAACUAAGCCAAGAACAAAACACUGUGGAAGCAAAUACUUCAACACCAACAAGUUAUGAUUAAGUGGCAGUUGUAAUAUACUAAUAUUCACUUACAUUAAACCCAAUGCUCGUUUGAAGUCUUUUUAUUUGAUUAAAGACUAGUAUGUCAAGGAUAAGUAUGUGACCUAGAAAUCUAAGUUCAAGGAACCCUACUUUUUUUCUUUAAAAGACUAACCAUAUAUCCAUAUUACCAUGAAACUAAAUCCAAAUAAAGUGAAACGGAUAUAGAGAAUACAUAUAACUGCACCAACUAACUGUAAAUCGAUAAAUUAGUUGGGUCUUAUAAAAAGUUGAAGAAACCAUCAAAACAUUUUCUAGGCUAUUUCAGGCUUCAAAUUGCUGAUCACUGAUUUACUCUUGUAAGGGGCAUCCGAUGGAAAACACUGAGCUCUACAAAGAUAUCUUUCCACUUGGUGGUUUUACUAUAAGGUUAGACAUGUGACAAACCAUUCCUAUAUGCCUAUGGCAGUUUUGUAUGGGGGAUCAAAAUGAAGAUACACACAUUCAAGGCCUAUUCUUUGCAGAGUUCUCCAUUCUGCUUCUCUAGGUGAUCAAAGCUUCAUUGCCCAGCAAUCUUACUUAUGACAGGUUACUGCUAGUAUAGACAGACUCUCUAUAUAUAGAGAAUCUUAUAUUUUUUAAAUUCCUUGUCCGUGUAUUUUAGUAGCCUUUAUGUACUAGGCGGGUACCCCUUCACUAUAUAUUUAGCAUGUUCCAAUCCAGAAAACUUAUAAGAGAGAUCAUUCAUGUUCCAAUUCACCGUAAAAGUCUUCAAUUAUCCUAGUUAUGAUCUACUUGGUGCUCAUGAUCUACUUUCUCAUUUAAAGGGCAUCUAAAUUCUCAAGGUUUUUGAGUUUGAAAUAUAUAAGAGUUAAUUGCUUGGAUGGUCUCCCAAGUUACAGAAAUGACUCAGUAAAGUCAAUAGAUCCUUUAAAUUUAUCAGAACUAAACAUUUCUGAUCUAUUAAAAACAACAUUAAAUCCUGACAAAUAAAGGGAAAUUGUAGCUUUUGGAAAAAAAAAAAUGAAGGUAAAGUCUACAAGAUCAAUAUAGUGACACCUAACAAGGUGUAACAAUUGUUCCAUGUUCCAAAAUAAUGAUGGUCCCUAGUACCAUGAUCAAAAUUUUCAAAUUCAAUCUCAAAUAUCUAUAAUCAAAUGUUUCACAAAAAACAUAGUAUUUACAGGUACUACGAACAACCACAUCAAAGAGCUAAAAAAAACCACAAUCGAAGAAGAUAUUAUAUGACUCAUCAAAUAGUAAUAGAUGGUUGUAUUUUGUAUCAUGUGAAGUCAAAAUUAAUAUACCUGCAAUAUAAUUAGAAGUAACAUAAGAGGAGACAUAGAGAAAAGGAUUGGUUUAUUCUCAUCUUUUUUUUUUUUUCUUUUCACUAGAAUCAACAAGGGGCUUCUGUGCUUUACUAUGUGUUUGUGUGGUAUCUCGUGCCUUGAGCAGGGGGUCUAUCGGAAACAGCCUUUCUACUUCAUUAGAGGUAGAGGUAUGGACUGCGUACAUCUUACCCCCCAGACCCCACUAGGUGGGAAUACACUGGGUUUGUUGUUGUUGUUGUACUAGAAUCAACAAGGGAUGUGUAUGGUUUAUGAGAAGAGUUAAUUCUUGAUGGGUAGUUUCUAGAGAAAAAAGUAUUUUAAAUUCACCUGCAUGUUCUUAAAAUAAUGAAGAACAAGAGAUUAGAUGGUCAUACGAACGAACUCAACAGCAUAAGAAAUCAUGGGAAAUCUUGAGUUGUAAUAUAAUAUCAACUCUAUAUUCUUCAUGAUCAUUUUGGGAUACCAACAGCAGAAAUAGAUAUAUGUUUUCCAAACAACGAAUAUAAAAAAGAAACUAAAAUAAGUUAAGAAUCUGCUACGUCUACAAAUUUGUAAAGCUAUUGACACUCUAUACUUGCUCUGAGCUCCAACUAAAACUGUCAUGUGAUAAAAUGGAAUGGAGAAGAAACUCCAUUUACAAAGGAUUUAAUCUGCACAAAGGUAUAUUUAUAGGACAACUUAGACCUACCCUCAAACUUAAGGGAGACCAUCUAUGUCAUUCUCUGGUGCUUCCCAUAGUAGGAGUUAUUUUGCGGGACAGUGCAUAAAACAUGAGUGAUUUGAUUUGUGACUUUACUGAGUCAUUAUAUAAGGAAUUAACUCAAUAUGUAAUAAAAUUAGAGAUUUUACUUUUUGAAUCAUCAGACCUUGAAGAUGUCUUACAUAACAGGGUAACACUAUAGCAGCAUAAACAUGGUAAACUAUGCAGUAUUUGAACAAAGAAGUGAUUGAACAUAUUAGAACAUUUACCGAUCAGAAGGAUCUCGUCCAGGCAUUUCAACAAAAAGAUCAUGAUCGCAUAUGAUUUGUAGAAAGGUAAGCUUGCAGUCAUGCAGCACUGUUUGACACACUCCAGAGAAUUUAUCGAGGUACAAGGACACCUGUAAAUGAGAGCAAUUACAAGGAAGAUGUAUAAUUAUUAAACUGUGGGGAAAUAAAAAUUAGAACAUUUUUUUAAUGUAACAUCACACAACAUAAUGAUAUCAAGCAAACUCCACUUGGCGCUAAACAAAAUAGCAGCUGCAGCAGGGCUGAAGAAAAUGUAAGUUUGCCUUGUAAAUUAAAUACAACAAUUGCAUGAACAUUUUAAUGAAAAUGAUGUCAGGUUCAGCAUACCUAAUCGACUUUCUUUCUGUUAUUUUUCCGUGUCAAAGCAGGAGGGAAAUCUUUUUUGUUAAUUGAUCUAAAGGAAGAUUGCACUGAUUGGUACAUUCUGGUGAAAAGAAGGAACCAUGUAAGCAGUAUAAAGGUUGUGAGAAUUCGGUGUAGAUUUAUAGGGUUUUGGUCAACUCAAGUGUCCUCGAGAAACAUCUUUUUGAGCCAACUAACUAAAGGAAAAUUGCAAUUAUUGGUAUGUGCUGGUGAGCGAAAAGAAGAAAUAAUGCUAGCAUUAGCAGUAUAAGGGUUGAUAACAUAAAUUCAAGAUAUGCACGUUAUAAAUCAGGCCCAAAUGUACUUCUAGGUUACAAAUAUCCAACCGAACUAGUUUGGACUGAGGCUGUUAUUAUUGUUUUGUAUGUCAGAUGUAGUGUUCUGCAUCUACCAUCAGAAGGCAUAGAAAAGAUUUGUGGCUGAUAGGCAAAAAUAAAUUAGUAUACGAGUAUAGGAUAAUACAGAACUUCAAUAGGUGUGGGUGGUUUAUUCUGAUUGAAAUAAUAAUGGGGGAGGGAGAGAGAUCAUCAGUAAUCAUCUUGAGAUUAGCUCUAACCCUGGCCGGUUGGAUGUGGUUCAAAAGAUUUUUAAGUUACUAAGGAAGGCUAGAAUAACAGCAAAUAUCCCACCUUUAUGCCGAUGACUAAUAGAUAAGUAAAUGCAGUAGCACUGAAUAAAGGAUUGGACGUUGAACCUAAAUUAUUGGAAGGAUCAGCAAAUCUUGGGGAACACAGUUGUCAUGGCAGAGGAUUCUCUGAAGUAGGGGCGACAUAUAUUAGCAGAUGACUGCUUAGUACAUUUGGAAAUAUCACUUGAGAGGUCCCAGAUUUCCUAAGUAUACGAAUACUGGGGUAAACAUUCUUUGAAGAGCCCAGUAGGAACCAAGAUGAUGGAUUGGGUCUCACACAUUGACUGAAGUAGAGAGGACUGAGAGGGCUAAGAAGUGAAGAACAGCAGUAACAGCAAUUAGGGAAGAAUAAAUCAGAAUAAUGAGCAACAGUUGAGUUCAAAAGCUUACCAGUUCAAAAACUUGAUGAGGCUCGAUGAUGGAUAAAAGAUCAUAACAAAAAAAAGCCAAACUACUAUUUAAAUGCUUGGCCAAGCUUAGACCUUUCUUGCAGCGCUCAUGAACUUCUGUUAAAAGGCAAUCGUACAAUUGAACAACACAUCUAAAAACGCCUUCUUUCAAUUGCAUUGGCGGGACAUCCUCACCUGUGCAUGAAAGAACGAAACAUGCAGCUUAUCAAUAUAAUGCCUCAAUUGGUGAUUAAAACACAACUAUUCGGCAGUUGUAAAUUUAAAAUUUGAAAAGUCCUAUUACGCACUCAAACAGAUUAAAAAUAAUGAGUAGUCUAAGACUCCAAAACCCAACCUCUGAAUUCGCAUUCUUGUAAUGGAAGCCAUGGUUAUUAACUCAAAAAAACAAAGUCGAGCAAUGUGAAGCAAAUGAAGGCUCAUCAUUCACAACGGACAUAGAUGAAUUAGACUACCUAGCUUCAACCUUAAAUGAAAAUGAUUAGAGACUAUCAUGUAUAAGAGACAUAUGUAGCAAGGUGUGAGCAAAACUACCAACUUCCAUUGUAAAAUUUUCAUUUUUCAUCUAGCAUUACACUAGAACAUCCCAUUCCAAGAAAAUAUUAUCAUAAGUGAGAAGAGAUUCCCUUCUACAACCCUUCGUCACUCGAACGAACCCAAUGAAUAAAUGGAAAACCUAAGAGUGGAGACAAAAGUUCUUGUUCAUCACUCCACCACCUGCGCUCCCCAAGUUUCAACUCAACAUCCAUUUUAUCAGUUGGAGUUACAAAACUCCCAAGUAAAAACAUCAUUUCAGUUAGAAUAGGAAUAGGAAUAGGAUUCUACAUAAUGUCCUGCAGGUAAAAGAGUAGUAAUGUAGCUUCUAUAUAUAAGGCUCAAUGUAAUAAUGUAAAACAACACAUCUUAACCAUUGGUUUUUAUCAGAGACAUUGGAAAAUAACAGAGAAAAAAUAUUAAGAGAAAAAUACUGCCAUGAGGCCAAAGGGAAUUAUUUUUAUUCAGCUUUGUUGAACUCUACAUUUAUGAGAAAAAAAGCAUUAAAAACAUGAUAAUAAACUAGCCUAGAAUAUCUUCAGAAAACAUUUUUAACUAGUAACUAAGAAAUAGGAAAAUCCAACUAACAACCUAUUAACUAGGAUUUAUUCAAAAAACUAAAGCAGCAACAUAAAAUUACUGCAAUUCAAAAGCAAUAACUCUAACAUUAACAAUAUUUUCAAGUCUUUUCCUCACAUGGUAUUAUAGCCACAGUAAGAAAAAACCAGGGCUGUUCGUGUGUCUUUCUGGUGACUCCUCGGGUUUAAUUUACGUCACUUAACUUUCGGGGUGUGUUGUGUGAAAACCAACACCACCCUUGGAUCCAGCAAGUUUAACAAACACGGAAGAAUCUCCCGCAAAAACUCAUGAGCCCGCACGCGCCUGUCUAAGUUCUGACAUCUGCGACGCGUCUAACACACGUACAAGCGUGUGAGGCUGUUUUCACGAAUUUUUUUUUCUAUUAGGGUCACGUAGUGAUUCAAACCCUACCCCACUAAUCAAAUCCCUAUCCCAACAUUCUCUAGUAGGCAGAUUGAGUUUUCCGGCAAAAUUUUUAGCUUUUCCAACUUUUUCCAUUCGUUGCUUUGAGUCGAGGCCGUCCAACUAUUUCGAGCAGAGCCCACCAACCGUUGAUUUAGGGUUCAAUCGGAUUCAUUUUUCCGGUAAAAUAUGUGUUUUCUGAUGGUAUCUCAAAUUUUUCUUUUGCAUUGUGGAUCUUGACUAAAGUGCUUACAACCCUCAUUAUUUCCCGACUCUAACAGCAACUACCAAUCAUUUCCUGCAAACCUCUGAGUUAUAAUUUGUGAUUAUUUGCUUGGAACUCUCUUCAAUUCAAUCAUAUAUUUUGGAUUUGUCGUUUUUACUUUAAAAAUAUGAGAGUUGGAAAUUCAAGUUCUAUGAUUACCUCAAAACCCUUUAUGAGAACAAAAAAUCAAACAUCACAAUCUAUGAAGAAUCGAUGACGUGGUCAUUUGGAAAGAUCUCGACCUAAUUGUAGUUAUUGUAAUAGGUUUGGAUACACACGUGAAGUAUGACAUUCUCUGCAUGGUCGGUCACCCAAGAAUGCUCAUGUUGCUCAGACUAACACAGAAGGUAAUCAAUAGGUUUAUACAUAGGAACGGGAAUACAACGAGUUCCUACAGUUUCAAACAAGUAUGCAAACGUCUCUACAAGUAACCUCUGUUGCUCAGCCUAAUACCUCCAUUGUUGGUAAUUCUUUUGCUAGGUGUUUCACAGUCUAAUAAUCUUGGACCAUGGGUGGGUCGUGGACUCGAGCACCUUUGCUCCUAUUAAUGGUUAUAAAUCAUUUUUAUCCCGUAUUAUUUAUUCAAGUCUCUUCCCAUCAUUACUUUAAAAGCAAAAGGAGUUAAACAAGCUAAUCCCCUGUCAUUUAUCACUAUAAACUUUAUUCUUUAUGGCCCUAUUUGUCCUUUUAAUCUUGCAUCUAUCCGUCGUGGCCUAAAUUGUGCCAUAAUAUUUCUUGAUGAUUAUUCUAUUAUGCAUGACCACAAAACGAGACUAACAAUUGGCAUAGGACAUUAAUACCAAAGCCUUUACUACCUUACCUAUCCUGAUUUCCUCCAUAGCAUGUCUAUUUACAACCCCUCCAGACUUGAUCCACCAACAUUUGGAACAUCCAAAUUUAUCCAAACUACAAAAUAUGGUGCCUAGUUUGUCCACAUUAAAUCGUGUGAUGUGUCAACUUCACACACUCUAAGAGUUGUGUAGAGUCAAUUUGUUCGUUAGUCCAUCUGAUAUUUGGGGUCUCAACCUUCGGAUUUCAAUAUUUUGUUAAUCUCAUUGAUAAUUAUCCAAGAUGUACUGGAUUUUCUUAAUAAAAGAUUAUUUUGAGAUUUUUUUCCAUAAUCAAGUGUUUUGUACUGAAAUACAAAAUCAAUUCAGCAUUUCUAUUUGUACUUUUCAUAUUGAUAAUGCCUUAAGAUAUUUAUCCUAGUUUCAGCAGAUUAUGACUCACCAAGAAAUUAUUCAUCAAACAUUGUGACCAUAAAUCCUGUAGCAGAAAGGAAAAAUAGGCACCUCAUUGAUAAGUUUACACUUUGCAUAUUGUUUUCCUGGUACAAUAAGGACUUUACUUUCCUUGUACUUAUCAUUAACCUCCCUUAUUUUUUGUUGUUUCCUUUUUUUAUUAGAAUAGGGGUUGUCUUUUCCUAACUUUAUGUGAUAGCUAUAAAAACUUGGUAGGCUCAUCUUGGAGCUGGGGAAGUGUUUUGGAUGGCGAAAGGUGACAAGAGGUGACAAGGCCCAGCUCGCCACAUUGCGAAGCGAGCGCCUUUCGAAAGUGCGGUGACAAUUAAUACAAAAAAAUUAAAAUAAUAUAUAAAUGAUCAAAAAACAAUUUUUACAUAAUACAUAUGCUUAUUGUUAGUUUGUUAAAACUGUAAUACUGUUACAGAGGAAGAAAAAUAGAAGAAGAAGAAGAGAAAAAGAGGAAAAAAAAAACAGUAUGUCAAUCGAGUAGCUGGAGCCGUCGGAUUAAGAAAAAGAAGAAAGAAGAAAAAAAAUAAAAAUCAAUACUUACCAAUAGCUGGAGUCGCCGGAGUAGUUGUCGCCGGUCGCCGGAGUUGAAGUCGGACUUGUGAGAUGGUAGAUGGUAGCAGCCGCAGUCGCCAAUCGAGUAAGUUGGUAGAGCCAAAAUAGGAAAAUAAGCCCUAAAAUUAGCCUUUAACCCUAAAACCCUAACAUUUAAAAAAUAAAUAAAAAGGUGACGCCAGUGUCGCCUCGCCAUGUCGCCUCUCGUAAAGGCGUCGCCUUUUGGAUGUCGCAGCGCUACGACGACAAGAGGCGACUAUGCCUCACCUCGCCUCUCCAUUCGCCAUUGCCUACGUGGCGAGCGUCUUUUACAACACUGAGUAGGGGGUCUAUCGGAAACAGCCUCUCUAUCUCACCUCUGAGAUAGUGGUAUGGACUGCAUACACUUACCCUACCCGAACCCCACUUGGUGGAAAUAUACUGGGUAUGUUGUCGUCGUCGUCGUCGUCGUCGUUGUAUGAUUACAAGCACCUUUGGAAAUCUUAUAAUUCGGAUUGAACUUGGUAAUAUCUUGGGCUCUUGUUGAAAAUUAAUUUUUUAAGUUCAAUCUGGAAAAAGGAUUCCCAAUCUCAGGUGACUGUAAUUAGAAUAUGCAAAAUCUCCUCCCAAAGAUAAUUCUACCAAGUAUUUAUAACUAUAGAAAAGAAUAGGCAAACACAAUCCCUAUUUUGAUAAUGAAAAGAAAUAGCUAUAAAUAAGGAAAAGAUAUAAUGCAAAGAGGAAAAGAAAGUUCCUAUGGGAACAAUAACGGAAGUAGAAACCAACACAGAAAAGGAAACAAGACGACUACUCUUGGAAAGAAAAUAUAAACCAAUUUAGUAAACGAAACAAGAAAUCACAUUUUUAGAAGAAAACAUGAAACAACACAGAGAUGCUUUAUCUUUACAAUUUUGAAUUCUGUGCUUCAGUGCAAUCCAAGACUCCAAGCUAUCCAGUCACAUCAACAACAUUCCCUAGAUACCUAAUAUGAUAUCACAGUUCCAGGGGAUUAUCUCACACCAAAUAAAGUUGUGUUGUUGGGAAAAGGAGAUCAGGCUAAAAGUGUACCUACCCAACCAGUUGUUUUGAGUUCAAGAAUUCUCUUUCCUUAGUUGAGGCUUUCAGUAGGUUCAUUUGAUAAGAUAUGACUUGUGGGUAUGGGUGGCAUGGGUCCCAAGGAACUCCGGAGCGUUUGGGAGUAUUUGAACCUGAACUAGUGGCCUUGAGUUCGUAGAGUUGACCAAAGUCUAACAAUUUGAGUAAACAAGCUUAGAUGCAUGAUUUAAAGGUUAUGGUAAGUCCACGUGAAGAGUUUGAACUUGUCUGGAAACCAACAUCAUUUGGUCGGACUUCUGCAAUAGUUUGUCAUUCCGGGCAUGUGAGGUCCAAAUGAGAAUCCGAUAGUUAGACGAAAAUUGCAAUGAUGUUUAAAUGUGAUCUGCAAUUUUUUAUUUCAUUCCGAUGAGUUUCAGGACGGGUUUUGAAUGUGUUUAGUGGUUUGGUGUUGUUUUGAGCAUAAAAGUGUAAUAACAACUCAAAGGUCAGAUUUCAAUUCUAGAGAUCGAAAUUUAAUUUUGAGACUUCUGGGAGUUUGAGAAUGAUUUAUAGGAGUGAUCUGAAAAAUUUAGUGUCACUCUAAUAAGUCCCACUCGGGUUUUCAACGCGAAACGUGCCAUUAAAUCCUUAAUGAGCGGAAACAAAAUCGCAUCAUGCAAACGAGCUUAGAAUCAUGGCUUGAAAGUUCCAAUAGGUUUGUAUGACAAUUUAGAAUUUUGUUGAAUGAAUUGGAUGGAUCCCGAGGGGAUUGGGAGUGAUUCAAACAUUUUAAGUUGAAAACUAGUUAUUUUGAAGAUUAAGAGUUGAUCACGGUCAAAUAUGUGUCUCCGGACGACCUUGAAAUGGUGAUUUGAGAGCUCCAACAAGUGAGCAGGGUGAUUUCAGAGUAAUUUGCAUGUUUAGGUUGCAUCUGAAGAGGCUCGGGUGAGUGUCAGCGUGUCGGGAGCAAGUUUUGAAAUAUUUAAAGUGCUGAAAUCUGAAAAGUUCGGAAUUGGUUUGCCUACAGGUUUGGGUUGUAGAUGACAUCACGGUUUAGGGGAAUUUGGGUCGUAACAAAAAGACCAUCCAAUUAAGAUCACUAAUAUAAUUACAAAACACCACAACUGCUUUUCCUUGAUCAUAUACAAAAGAUCAGUUUUCUUCUUUUUUUUUCCUAUAUUGUAAUUUCCCCAUUUUUCUUCUUUAUUGCAACUUGCCACUUGUGGGAAUAUACUAAAAAGUGAUUGAAACAUUUGAAGGACUUCGCAGUAACUUCCCAUGGGACUCAAUGGAACGCAUUAAAAAGUUUCAUCUUAUGAAUUGGAGAGUUACCACACCUCCAACGGAAUGGGAAGGGGGCUUGGAGUGAAAGAUCUUCAGG